Molecule: long non-coding RNA, 868 nt
Organism: Liolophura sinensis
Lineage: Eukaryota; Metazoa; Mollusca; Polyplacophora; Chitonida; Chitonidae
Exons: 3
Source: RefSeq, a predicted model, not a curated record
GGCAUAUCAAACAUUGCUUUCAGCUGCCACUUCUUCAGAUUAUCUCUCAUCGUCGAUUACAUUUUUGUCUGGAACUCUGCGAUUCUGAACCUUCGUUGCACCAUGAACUUCUGGAGUGUCCUUUGCUGCACAGGUCUCUCACUUGUCCUGAUGGCCCAGGUCAUCAUGGCCUCUCCGACUGGAACAAGGCCGAUGUACGAAGCUUCCAGGCUUGAUUUUGAAAAUCCAUCGAGUUCGUUUUGGGCAAAGUUGAUCGGAUCCCAUCAUGCAGUACGAGCCAAACGUCAGAUGGCGCAUGCGCAGAUGAUCAUGUGUUCGCGCACCCCCCAGCUGUGUCGGUCUUCUUAUCGUAGUUCGUCCAGAAGGCGUCGCCCCUACCGGAGACCAGAAUCUUCCAAGUAUUAAUCCGGCGAACAACGAACUGGCCAGUUUUAUUGACUCGGGAAUUUACGUAACUGUCCGUUGAUCGAAGAUUACCGGGCACUGUAACGAAGGCUUUGGUGACGGCCAUCUUGACCAAGUCGGCGUCAAACUUACCAGAGCUGAACCUGUGAUACACGAAAACGUCUCGUGACCAAUCUGUGAUAGCUACUUGUGUGUGUUUAUUCAACAUGCAAUAUGAAUGGAGUGCAGAACUCUGAUUUUGUAUGGCGUUUCUACUACAGAAAAACUACAACCCUAGAGAACAUAAUUCACUUCAUCCAUCGACUCACGUCAAGCUGAUCGCGCGCAUGUAGGAAAUGACACUGGAAAUUCAUUCAUUAUUUCAUUUUAAUUUAUUUCCUUUUCACUAUGUGACGUCUUUUUUGUGUGUCUUGAGCUCUAUCUACAUGUCUUAUUUUGUCAUGAAUAAAUUUAUUAUUGUCUU